Molecule: ribosomal RNA, 800 nt
Filed under: uncultured rumen bacterium
Lineage: Bacteria
Description: bacterial SSU rRNA
Rfam family: Bacterial small subunit ribosomal RNA
Source: RNAcentral
UGCCUAACACAUGCAAGUCGAACGGGCACUGAUUUGGCGGAGAUUCGUCGAAGCCGAUGAAAGUUUAGUGGCGGACGGGUGAGUAACGCGUGGGUAACCUGCCUCAUAGUGGGGGACAACAGCUGGAAACGGCUGCUAAUACCGCAUAAGCCCACAGUACCGCAUGGUACAGAGGGAAAAGAUUUAUCGCUAUGAGAUGGACCCGCGUUUGAUUAGCUGGUUGGCGGUGUAACGGACCACCAAGGCGACGAUCAAUAGCCGGACUGAGAGGUUGAACGGCCACAUUGGGACUGAGACACGACCCAAACUCCUACGGGAGGCAGCAGUGGGGAAUAUUGCACAAUGGGGGAAACCCUGAUGCAGCGACGCCGCGUGGGUGAAGAAGUUUUUCGGAAUGUAAAGCCCUAUCAGCAGGGAAGAUAACGACGGUACCUGACUAAGAAGCCCCGGCUAACUACGUGCCAGCAGCCGCGGUAAUACGUAGGGGGCAAGCGUUAUCCGGAUUUACUGGGUGUAAAGGGAGCGUAGACGGAAUAGCAAGUCUGAAGUGAAAUGUAGGGGCUCAACUCCUGAACUGCUUUGGAAACUGUUGAUCUUGAGUACCGGAGGGGCAGGCGGAAUUCCUGGUGUAGCGGUGAAAUGCGUAGAUAUCAGGAAGAACACCGGUGGCGAAGGCGGCCUGCUGGACGGUAACUGACGUUGAGGCUCGAAAGCGUGGGGAGCAAACAGGAUUAGAUCCCUGGUAGUCACGCCGUAACGAUGAUACUAGUGUCGCAUCNAGGAUGUCGUGCUGCGUUACC